GCAGAACGCGAAGAACCUUACCAGGUCUUGACAUCCCUCUGAAUCCUCUAGAGAUAGAGGCGGCCUUCGGGACAGAGGAGACAGGUGGUGCAUGGUUGUCGUCAGCUCGUGUCGUGAGAUGUUGGGUUAAGUCCCGCAACGAGCGCAACCCUUGUAUUUUAGUUGCCAGCACAUUAAGGGUGGGCACUCUAGAAUGACUGCCGGUGACAACCGGAGGAAGGCGGGGAUGACGUCAAAUCAUCAUGCCCCUUAUGACCUGGGCUACACACGUACUACAAUGGCCAGUACAACGGGAAGCGAAGUCGCGAGACGGAGCCAAUCCUAUCAAAGCUGGUCUCAGUUCGGAUUGCAGGCUGCAAC
This 360-nucleotide ribosomal RNA is filed under the name uncultured bacterium. RNAcentral's name for it is "bacterial SSU rRNA". It matches the Rfam family "Bacterial small subunit ribosomal RNA", at positions 954 to 1311 of the family's 1533-position model. The record is from RNAcentral.